This 216-nucleotide long non-coding RNA is filed under the name Panax ginseng (ginseng). Its description in RNAcentral is "long non-coding RNA (PGIN_LNC001117)". Lineage: Eukaryota; Viridiplantae; Streptophyta; Magnoliopsida; Apiales; Araliaceae. The record is from RNAcentral.
AUUAUUUACACUUUACUAAUUAAUGCAUUUAAUCAUACUAAAAUAUCAAACUCAUAAGAUUCAUCACCAAUAACCAACAACCUCAUCAAAAAUCUGCAUAUAUCAUAUAUAGGAUUUUCAAGCCAUAAAAUCCUAUUUUUCAAUUUUGUUACUUCACAUAACAUAUUUAAUUUAUUUAUUCAUAACUAGUCCAUUUUCAUGAAAAAUAUCAAAUCA